CUGCUGUUUUCUCCGAUUCUCCGCAUUCUGCUGCGAGUCGUCGGUCACGCUGGUUCCGAUUUUCAUCCGGUUGAGCUCGACAACAAAUUCCCUGCACUUUAUUUACAGCUUGGAAAAUUGGCAAAUCGGAGUGUCGGAGAAGGUUUAAACAUCAAACAUAAACCGAGUCAUGUAGUGAGCGACCGAAGACAGCAUUUUCAGCGCACAAAGAGUUCAAACACAUCCGCAGACGGAGAAGAAGAGCCGAGCAGCCGGAGUGGGCGCUGCAAAAGUGCAACAGCUGCGCAGGAAACCGAAACGAAUAGAGGACGCCAACUGAAAACCAUUUCCAACUCUAAGCCAAGUCCAAUAAAUCCGAGACUAGAUUCGAGUGGCGAGUACCGAGCAACUAGUACCACGUUUCCAGUUCCCAGAUUCCGGAUUUCAAAGCUGCUGCGGCGGGAGAAUGUGUAGUGCAACCCACGGGCGGCAGCUUCAAGUGGCAAUUGUGGCAGCAGCGGCGAACUCAACCGGAUAAUAAGUUGUGGAUGC
This is a long non-coding RNA of Drosophila sechellia, 531 nucleotides long. RefSeq lists it as uncharacterized. The record is from RefSeq and is a predicted model, not a curated record. Lineage: Eukaryota; Metazoa; Arthropoda; Insecta; Diptera; Drosophilidae. The transcript has 3 exons.